This 278-nucleotide ribosomal RNA is filed under the name uncultured prokaryote. RNAcentral's name for it is "partial 16S ribosomal RNA". It matches the Rfam family "Bacterial small subunit ribosomal RNA", at positions 524 to 801 of the family's 1533-position model. The record is from RNAcentral.
UACGUAGGGGGCGAGCGUUGUUCGGAAUUAUUGGGCGUAAAGGGCGCGUAGGCGGUUGUGAUAGUCAGAUGUGAAAUCCUCCGGCUUAACUGGAGAACUGCAUCUGAAACUUCAUAGCUAGAGUACAGGAGAGGGAAACGGAAUUCCCGGUGUAGAGGUGGAAUUCGUAGAUAUCGGGAGGAACACCAGUGGCGAAGGCGGUUUCCUGGCCUGAUACUGACGCUGAGGCGCGAAAGCGUGGGGAGCAAACAGGAUUAGAUACCCCCGUAGUCCCUGAG